Molecule: ribosomal RNA, 324 nt
Filed under: uncultured Pseudomonadota bacterium
Lineage: Bacteria; Pseudomonadati; Pseudomonadota
Description: bacterial SSU rRNA
Rfam family: Bacterial small subunit ribosomal RNA
Source: RNAcentral
AGUGAACGCUGGCGGCGUGCCUAACACAUGCAAGUCGAACGAUGAUGGAGGAGCUUGCUCUUCCUGAUUAGUGGCGCACGGGUGAGUAACGCAUAGGUAAUGUGCCCCUUAGUCUGGGAUAGCCACUGGAAACGGUGAUUAAUACUAGAUACUCCUUCUCAUUAUAAGAUGAGUCGGGAAAGUUUUUCGCUAAGGGAUCAGCCUAUGUCCUAUCAGCUUGUUGGUGAGGUAACGGCUCACCAAGGCUAUGACGGGUAUCUGGUUUGAGAGGAUGGAUCAGACACACUGGAACUGAGACACGGUCCAGACUCCUACGGGUGGCUG